UGGGGAAUUUUUCGCAAUGGGGGCAACCCUGACGAAGCAAUGCCGCGUGGAUGAUAAAGUAUCUCGGUACGUAAAAUCCUUUCGACGGGGACGAAACCGCAAGGUUGACGGUACCCGUAGAAGAAGCCCCGGCUAACUCCGUGCCAGCAGCCGCGGUAAUACGAAGGGGGCUAGCGUUGUUCGGAAUUACUGGGCGUAAAGCGCGCGCAGGCGGCUAUCCAAGUCAGUGGUGAAAGCCCGGAGCUCAACUCCGGAACUGCCAUUGAAACUGUUUAGCUUGAGGACGAGAGAGGUGAGUGGAAUUCCCAGUGUAGAGGUGAAAUUCGUAGAUAUUGGGAAGAACACCGGUGGCGAAGGCGGCUCACUGGCUCGUUUCUGACGCUCAGGCGCGAUAGCGUGGGGAUCAAAC
RNAcentral lists this ribosomal RNA (409 nucleotides) under uncultured bacterium. Its description in RNAcentral is "bacterial SSU rRNA". It matches the Rfam family "Bacterial small subunit ribosomal RNA", at positions 355 to 773 of the family's 1533-position model. The record is from RNAcentral.